RNAcentral lists this ribosomal RNA (878 nucleotides) under Bacillus inaquosorum. RNAcentral describes it as "bacterial SSU rRNA". It matches the Rfam family "Bacterial small subunit ribosomal RNA", at positions 75 to 936 of the family's 1533-position model. The record is from RNAcentral. Lineage: Bacteria; Bacillati; Bacillota; Bacilli; Caryophanales; Bacillaceae.
GGAGCUUGCUCCCUGAUGUUAGCGGCGGACGGGUGAGUAACACGUGGGUAACCUGCCUGUAAGACUGGGAUAACUCCGGGAAACCGGGGCUAAUACCGGAUGGUUGUUUGAACCGCAUGGUUCAAACAUAAAAGGUGGCUUCGGCUACCACUUACAGAUGGACCCGCGGCGCAUUAGCUAGUUGGUGAGGUAACGGCUCACCAAGGCAACGAUGCGUAGCCGACCUGAGAGGGUGAUCGGCCACACUGGGACUGAGACACGGCCCAGACUCCUACGGGAGGCAGCAGUAGGGAAUCUUCCGCAAUGGACGAAAGUCUGACGGAGCAACGCCGCGUGAGUGAUGAAGGUUUUCGGAUCGUAAAGCUCUGUUGUUAGGGAAGAACAAGUACCGUUCGAAUAGGGCGGUACCUUGACGGUACCUAACCAGAAAGCCACGGCUAACUACGUGCCAGCAGCCGCGGUAAUACGUAGGUGGCAAGCGUUGUCCGGAAUUAUUGGGCGUAAAGGGCUCGCAGGCGGUUUCUUAAGUCUGAUGUGAAAGCCCCCGGCUCAACCGGGGAGGGUCAUUGGAAACUGGGGAACUUGAGUGCAGAAGAGGAGAGUGGAAUUCCACGUGUAGCGGUGAAAUGCGUAGAGAUGUGGAGGAACACCAGUGGCGAAGGCGACUCUCUGGUCUGUAACUGACGCUGAGGAGCGAAAGCGUGGGGAGCGAACAGGAUUAGAUACCCUGGUAGUCCACGCCGUAAACGAUGAGUGCUAAGUGUUAGGGGGUUUCCGCCCCUUAGUGCUGCAGCUAACGCAUUAAGCACUCCGCCUGGGGAGUACGGUCGCAAGACUGAAACUCAAAGGAAUUGACGGGGGCCCGCACAAGCGGUGGA